This is a ribosomal RNA of Ochotona princeps (American pika), 129 nucleotides long. NCBI's taxonomy places the organism in Eukaryota, Metazoa, Chordata, Mammalia, Lagomorpha, Ochotonidae. The record is from Ensembl.
GUCUACAGCCAUACCACCCUGAUUGCGCCCGAUCUCGUCUGAUCUCAGAAGCUAAGCAGGGUCGGGCCUGGUUAGUACUUGGGUGGGAGAAAAAGAUAUAUAUGAGAGAGAGUCAAAGAAUUAUUUAUA